Molecule: ribosomal RNA, 497 nt
Filed under: uncultured bacterium
Lineage: Bacteria
Description: partial 16S ribosomal RNA
Rfam family: Bacterial small subunit ribosomal RNA
Source: RNAcentral
GAUGAACGCUGGCGGCGUGCCUAAUACAUGCAAGUCGAGCGAACGGACGAGAAGCUUGCUUUUCUGAUGUUAGCGGCGGACGGGUGAGUAACACGUGGAUAACCUACCUAUAAGACUGGGAUAACUUCGGGAAACCGGAGCUAAUCCCGGAUAAUAUUUUGAACCGCAUGGUUCAAAAGUGAAAGACGGUCUUGCUGUCACUUAUAGAUGGAUCCGCGCUGCAUUAGCUAGUUGGUAAGGUAACGGCUUACCAAGGCAACGAUGCAUAGCCGACCUGAGAGAGUGAUCGGCCACACUGGAACGGAGACGCGGUCCAGACUCCUACGGGAGGCAGCAGUAGGGAAUCUUCCGCAAUGGGCGAAAGCCUGACGGAGCAACGCCGCGUGAGUGAUGAAGGUCUUCGGAUCGUAAAACUCUGUUAUUAGGGAAGAACAUAUGUGUAAGUAACUGUGCACAUCUUGACGGUACCUAAUCAGAAAGCCACGGCUAACUACGUG